This 38322-nucleotide long non-coding RNA is filed under the name Theobroma cacao (cacao). RNAcentral's name for it is "long non-coding RNA (TCAC_LNC003568)". The record is from RNAcentral. Lineage: Eukaryota; Viridiplantae; Streptophyta; Magnoliopsida; Malvales; Malvaceae.
GGGUAUUACACUAGUGAAGUACUUUCCUUCCAGAAACAAAAGCCAAUAUUUCAACAAAUCCACUUUCAGUUCAAUAUAGGGAAAACUAAGGUUGUCGUCUUUGCUGGUCUCAACAGCCAAAAUGCAGGGGUUAUAACUAGAAAAAAUUGUGAGAAAUAACCUUCUUCAUAAGAUCAAUUCAAAAAUAUCAUUUUUUAUAAUUUUAACUAUUUUGGUCAAUUUUUGGCAUAACUUGACAAUAAUACCCCUUAAACAAUUUCAGACAAAUUAAAAUAAUUUCAGUUUUCUCUCUUCCGCCAUCCGGAUAAAAAUUUCAAAAUUAAAUCUCAAUUUCUCUCUUUACUCAAAUAUGUCUAUCUCGCCAUCCAAUUUGUAGAGAUGACAUCAAGCUCUUUCUUAUUUUGUUUUAUUUUUUUAGAUAGUGGAUCUUGGGGUUCUUAAGGGCGAUGAACAACGAUUUUGCUCUUUGCAGAUAGCGAUUUUGCUUAGGGAGAAAAAACAGUUAAAGUAUGUUUGAUGGGUUUUAUAGUGGUUCACAGUUUUGUUCUGUUUGGGAUUAAGAUAAUUGUUAAGCAUGUUUGCUAGGGAUUUUAAUUUUUUUUAUGGGAUUUUGAGUUGAAACUAUUCAGGGAAUAUUUUGUAAAUAGGGUAUAUUUUGUUUUUGUAUAAGGGAAGUGAGCAAGGCCUCCAAAUAGGGAUAUAUUUUCUCUUGCUUUGGAGAGUUAUGGAGUUUUGUAACCUAUCUUUUAUGAAAUACACAAUUUCAUAGCUUAGUAAAAAAAAAGUAUGUGUUUUAGGUUUUUGAGUUUAUUGGUUUAUUCAUAGAACCCUAAAAUUGAGAAGUUGAAAUUGAUUAGAUUGGUUUUUAAGUAUUAUGAGAUUAGUUUUUAGGUAUUGCGUGACUUAAUCACUGUGUGACUAGUUUUUAGGUAUUACGUGAUUGGUUUUAAGUAUUACGUGAUCGAAUUUUAAACAUUGCGUGAAUGAUUUUUAAAUAAUGCCUAAGUUACACAAUGCCUUACUAACUAGUCACGCAAUGCCUUACUAACAAGUCACGCAAUACCUAUCAACUAGUCACGCAAUGCCUUAUCAGAAGCUAGUCAUGCAAUGCCUUAUCAAAAACUAGUCAUGCAAUACCCAAAGUUAGUCAUGUAAUGCCUAUCAACUAGUCACGCAAUGCCUAUCAACUAGUCAUGCAAUGCCCUAUCAGAAACUAGUCACGCAAUGCUUUAUCAAAAACUAGUCACGAAAUGCCCAAAGUCAGUCACGUAAUGCCCAAAGGUCAGUCACGUAAUGCCUAUCAACUAGUCACACAAAGCUUAAUCAGAAACUAGUCACACAAAUGACUUAUUAAAAACUAGUCACGCAAUUUCCAAAGUCAGUCACGCAAUAUCUAAAGUCAGUCACGCAAUGCCUAAAAACUAGUCACGUAAUUCUCAAAAAUUACCAAAACUACUGAAUUCCAUUAACAAGAUCAACAACUUCAAACGAUCCACUAUAUUCCAUUUAACAAUAUAAUUAAUGAAUAUGAAUGCUCAAAAUGUUCAAAAGUUUUUUUUCAUAUAUAAAAAAUCACUCUAAAAUGCUUUAAAAUUGCUCAAAACGCUUACAGGUUUUCUUCGUGUAUCAAAAACUACUCCAAAAUGCUCAAAAUGCUUAGAUAUUUUUCUUUCUGAUAAGGAAUACUCCAAAGAUAAAUAGUUUGAUGAAGAAAGCUCAAAAAAUAUGAAUCAGUUUAAGGCGCAAACCUAAACAUACUUGACUCGUUAAUAGGUUUUGUAUUGAGACGCGAAGUCAAAUAAACGGGUCGAUUUCAUUAAGGGUAAUUUUGUCUGAAUUUUAAUUCUCUUGGCUAAAAUUAGUUAAAAUUAUAAAGAGAUCUAUUGUUAAAAACACAUUAUGCAUAGGGCCCAUUUAAAAAAAGAACCCUUUGCUAAGGCCGUCUUUGGCUCACACCCACCAAUCAAUCCGGAUGUUCUCACAAAGGCCUUCAAGUUGGACAAGAGUGUGGUCACAUAUCUUCAGUCCCGGUUCUAGUCAGAUUAAAAACUAAUUUAAGAGCCAAAUCAAAACCCAGAAGUUUGUUACUUGUUUUGAAUAAUGUUGCCAUUAAUUUUCUACAUGAAAGUCAUAUCGUUCUACUUACUGUAAUACAAUAAACAGGCUAGUUGAUGACGUACCUCUCUAGUCUCCUCUAUCCUUGUGAUCAUUCUGGGUAUAAAAAUCAGAAUAUAUAGGCCAAUUUGCAAUCUCUCUCUCAUGCUCACAUGUGUAUGCAAGGUAAAAAGUUGAUAGGAUUUUACAGAAACAAAUCAAGUAACUUUGAAGCAAUAAACUUUGUAUUCUUUUGCAAGUGUCAAAAUAUAGUGCAAAAAUAAGAGGUUGAUUACCCAAUGGUCUAAGUUGUGCAUAAGUAAUGGUAAACAUUGUCUGAUGAAGAGGCUGAGAUAUGAACGACUUCAAUAUAACAUUAUAAUCAGAGAAAUCAGAUUAGGGUGAAAAUUAAACAGCAGAUUAAUUUGCUGACUCUUGGGGUUGAAUCAAUUACAUAUUCAACACCCCAAACCCUGCCUUCCCUUGCAAGGUACGCUGCAUAUAAAAUAAUUCUGAAGGUGGAAUUUUACAAAACCAAAUGCCUUACCUGUUAGAUAAGUUGGUACGUUCAACUUCGAUCCAAUUAAUUGUGUCCAAAAUAUCACUAAGAAGACAAGACAUGUCCCUCACUUUGUAGAGUACCUUGGUAGAUAUUAGGUGGAAAAAAAAAAAAAGAGUUGUUGAGGUGCACAUUGUUCUCUCAUCCUGCUGGUGAGACUAACUAAGGUUUUUUAUUUUUAUUUUCUUUAAUGGCUAGACUAGUUGAUGAGUUGUUAGACAAUCUAGAAUUGGAAUAUAUCCAUAAGAAUACUAAAGAGUUAAAUCUGUAAUGAAUUGAUUUUAUGACUCAGUGAAGUCAUUUGCUUAUUGAUGUAAUUGGAUCUUGAACAAUGUUGUAUAAGCCUAAAACGAAGCUGUCAGUUUGUCUAAUAUAUUAAAGUGCGAAUGCCUUGUCCUUGCUGCUACAUCUUGCCAUAGCUAUCUACUUCAUCUGUUAGCUCAGGGCUUUGCACACAAUCAACAUGUUGGUUACUUGCUCCUUUACUCCUUUUUCAGUAAUUCAGUUGUUUUAACAAUUGAAUGAUCUUACAAGAACUCAUGAGUCAUGACAAAUAUGAAAGACAAGUCCCUAUAAAUGUCAAGAGAAAUGCUUCUGUUCUUAAUUUCUUGUGGCAUCUAAUUAACUGCGUAUGCUUCUCUGCCUAACAUUAAUCUGAUGACAGGUAAAAGCUGCCAUGAAAAUAUCAAACUCUUCUCAGAACACAUCAUAAGAUAAUAUGCCAUUUCCAAAUGAAGAUUAAUUACAAAGGAUACAUAUAUAAUGUCAGCAACAAAUUUGUAUUAAAUAAUAACGUGUGAUCGCUCAUAUAAAUAUGAUUCAAAGUCUUUGAAGUUAUAGAAGUAUUCAAGUUUACUUUUUUUCUUUUUUUUUUCACAUCUGGAAGACUGACUAGGCAAAUUUGAGUCAAUACACGUUACACAGUCACAAUUGGAAGUUGCGAUCCAUUGAACAGGAUCUGCAUAGUAUAAUCUAUUGAUAAUUUUUUUGUAGCUCAAUGUCAUUAUCACCUACCAAUACUUUUAACAACUAUUCUUAUUGUUCAUUAAUAAUGUUAUGCAAGAUAAUUAAUCACUUGCUAUUUUGCCAUUUGGCUUUGAGCAUUUGCUUCCCUGGUUAGUUCACCAAAUAAAGAAAUCACCAACUCACCUCAAUGCUCAAAGAUUAUUCAUGUCUAUAAGAGUUACAACUGAGUCAUCACCCACAAUUCUUGAAACAGUUUCUUCCAGCCACAGUUUGGCCAAUUCUAAGAUCAAUUCAAGGCAGCCCUAAUUAAUUUUUGGCUAAUUGAAGAUGUUUGAGUCUAGCAUGGUUAAUUGAACGUGCAAGAAAUUACUAAUGUUGUGAAUGUGAUAAGCACAGAUGUAAUAUGUUUGAGUAUUCAUGAACAUGUCAGAUUAGACUUUGUCAACUGAGACUACAUAAUAUGUUGAUUGGGGAUAAAGUUAGAAACCUUAAAUGAAGCAUAAGUUUUUGUCUCAUUAGCACUUCUUAGAUCAUGCUAAUUAUAAGGAAUGAAUUGAGUUCAACAGACAAAACUUUGCCGGCUAUUUGCAGCAACUCCAGAUAUAAAUCAAUUAUCUCACUCAAAUAAUGAAUAAAAAAAAAGAAAAAGUUUAAGGUAUGAAGAAGACAAUGCAAAACUGUUUAUGAUCAGUUCAUAUUUGAUGGUAUGUGAUGCACUUCCUAAAUAUCUAUAAACUUAUUUACGUAGGAAACAUUCAUUUGCUACCUAAUUCAAAAUUUUUUAUAAACGUUUGUACUUUCAAAGAAGUGGCAAAUAAGUUAUGACUUUUUCAUAAUGUGGAGAAUUAUACCCCAACUGCAGGUUAUCAAAUAUGAACUUGUUUCUAGCAUUUCUUUCCACAAAGGCAACACAGAAUCAAUCAACGCAUCAAACUUCAAUCCAAAAAGAAAAAUAUAGGAAAGAUACAUAGAAGUCUUAAGUGAAUUAUGACCUGUUCCCCGAUAAUAUUAAAAUGAUGUAAGCCAUGGAUGAGGAAAACGGGGACUAGAAAAUAGAAAAUAACUAGUUGUAAAGGCACAUGCCAGUAGUCACCAACUUCAUUGAGAGGAAACAAGGACCAGUUCAUUUGUUUUCCAUCUAUAAAUAGACCUUUCUGCCAUGCACGAUUUCUCACCCCGCUCCCAAGUAGUAGCAUACAGCUCCACAACGUAGGAUAGAUUUCCUUCCAGCGGAAUUGUAAUGAAAGGAGUUCAACUUUUCCUUGUAGCUUCUGCCUUCUUGGCCUUCGCUUGGUCAUUAGCCUCAGCUUCUGACCCUGACCCUCUCCAAGACUUCUGUGUAGCCAUCAAUGACACCAAGGACGGUGGUAUGUUAUAGUAUUACGUUUUGUCUCUCAGGACUUUCAUGUUAAUUAUUAUUUUAUGUCAAUGACUAUAAUUUCCAUUCCCAGCAAUAGUUUUCUUCAUAAUUAACGAACAUUACUUUCAUUGAUGCAGUGUUCGUAAAUGGGAAGUUCUGCAAGGACCCAAAGCUUGCCAAGGCAGAAGACUUCUUCUAUUCAGGGCUCAAUAUCCCCAGAAACACAUCAAAUCCAGUGGGAUCAACUGUGACUCAGGUCAAUGUUGCACAAAUACUAGGACUUAACACUCUUGGCAUAUCUCUGGCUCGAAUUGACUAUGCUCCGUACGGAGGCCUAAACCCCCCUCACACUCAUCCUCGUGCCUCUGAGAUCCUAGUGGUUUUAGAGGGCACACUUUACGUUGGCUUUGUUACAUCCAACCCGGAGAAUCGUCUCAUCACCAAAGUCUUGUACCCUGGAGAUGUGUUUGUUUUCCCAGUUGGUCUCAUCCACUUCCAGCUCAAUAUAGGGAAAACUAAUGCAGUUGCCUUUGCUGGUCUCAGCAGCCAAAAUCCAGGAGUAAUCACUAUUGCAAAGGCAGUCUUUGGCUCAAACCCUCCCAUCAAUCCUGAUGUUCUCACCAAGGCCUUCCAGCUGGACAAGAAUAUUGUUACCUCUCUUCAGUCCCGGUUCUGGUGGGACAACAAUUAAUUUGAAUAAUGUGUCAUGAAUCCAUAAGAUAUGGUAGUUUUUUAUUUUGAAUAAUGUGUCAUCCAUCUUCCUUGCUGUUGUCAUAAACCUAAUAAUAAUGGAUCAAGUGAUUACAUUUGUACCUCUCCUUUGCUGUGUUCAGCAUUCUAUAUAUUAAAAUUUUUUAGGCCAUAACACUGCAUUCUAUGUAUUCUGUGCGCCUUUGAACAUGUGGAGUGAAAUUUAUAAUUAGUGGUUAAUAGUGCAAUGCUGUCAAGAGGGAGAAAUGUACAAUUGGUGAAGUUGAUAUUUGCAGACCUGAUUAGAAAAUUAACGGGGCAAGUUAAUCAGUACAGUUAGGAAAAAAGACUAUAAAUUUGGCAAAUAAAGAAUGCAGGGUAGGUUAAAUAAAAUGUGUACAAUUAACAUCACACAACCUCUCCUCCUCUUUCCUCCCAAGGAAACCCUAAAGGAAUAAUAAUUCUGAUCCUUUCAGAUGCAUGCAUGAUAAGCAGGUUUCCUAAGUUUGCAGGUCAAUUCUCCAAACAAUAAGACCUUAAACGCAUCCUAAGGAAAAAACAUGAUCUGGCGAGAUGACAGCAAUUAUUGAUAUAAGUGAUCACAGUGAAAUGAGACCUAUUAGUUACUAAGGCUUUUAAUUGAGUGUGUGACCUGCAACAUCGAUCCUUGAAUUUGGGCAAAUGAUGCCUGACCUUACAAGAAUUUAAGUGUAACUUAUGUGUGCAUGCCAAACUUUUAUCAGACAAUAAUGUGAAUAAUGAUUUAAUAAUAGGCCUAAGUCUCACCCAGCAAGGACAAAGUGUAUUAAAGUAAUAGCAAUUUUCCAAUACUUUCUCAUCUAGAUGUCUGAAUGUUGCGAACACUGAUGUUUGGAUGUUGAAAUCAGCUCAACUUAGUUUGCUUUUUAUAGUUAUCAGAUAUUAUAUAAGAAGAUAAAAGGAACAAAUACAUUUACUUAUUCUUCUUUCUAAAGCCAUAUGUUUAUACUUAGUAAAACAAAGUUUAGAAGAUUUUCCUGACAAUUUAUAACCUUUGUUUAUGUUCAGGAUUUCUGUGAUCUUUUGCUAAUUAUUAUUAUCUGUUCAUCUUUGUAGUAUUUAGCAAGUUAACUGACUAGUUUACCAUUCUGCUUUUCUGCUUAAACAACAGUUCAAAAAAGAAAAGAAAAAAUAAUAAAGAGAAAAACAUAGCCUAAUUGGUUCACUUUAGCCUAUUCAGGCCUGGGUUUAGCAUGCACUUCAGAAGGGCCUAUAUCUUGAUUGUAGCUCACAUCUAUACUUCUCCAACUGUUGCUUCAGUGAUUAGUUCAAAGUACUGCAUUCUUCAAGAAGUGGUCAAAUUUUGCAAUUUGCCAAUUCAAGCAAGGUUAAUCUUGCAAGAAUCCUUGCUUUUUUAGUCAAAGGGGCCAUAUGUUUUAUUGUCCAGGAACAUGUCACAUUAGACUUUGUCAACUGAGACAAAAACUUUACAGAGUCUCUCUGCCUUACAGGUUUGUUACGUCCUUUUUGCUACAUUCAAUUUUUGGCAAUAGUACUACUUCAGUCACACUAUUGGUUUGAGUACCUUUUUCUUUCUGAAUACAGAACAUUAUUUUUUUAUCUGAGCUGCUCUCCAAAUAUGAUUUAUUGAAUCAUAAAUUUGUAGCCCGAAUUUCCGUUGAAGUGCAAUGGACUACUUACAUGUGUCAUCUGCCACAGCUGCAAAUGCAAGCAUGUCUAAUUUAAAUACUAUGAAAAGGAAGAAGUACCUGUAAGGGAAACUGUCAACUUUUGAAUUGCAAGAUCAAUUAGCUGAAGCGCCGGCAUCCUGCAGCAAUUAUCAAUUUGUGCUAAAGUCAAUGAAGUAGGUCAGUUUAAAUUGAGUACCAAUGUUCACAAACAAGGAAAGGAAGGAAACUUUUGAUAUGUACAACAAGACCACUUCCAUGUCUAAAUGCUGUGAUGUAAGCAUUGGAAGUGGGCAUUCGAAGAGGAUAUAGAUGCAUGGUUGCUGAGGAAUUAUUCGUCCACAAAUUUAAAGGAAAAAAAAAAAAAAACCAAGUCACUGCUGACUUGGUAAGUCCUUGAUGAGAAAGAUCAAAUACUUGUUCAAAGACUCCAACCUAUAAAUAGGCAUGCUUUCAAAAGGUUUACUCACCCAAAGCAAGAAAACUUGGAAGACUUGAAUCUAGUAACCUGCCAAGCUACAAUGAAAGGUGUUUAUUUCCUGGCAUCUUUUCUCUUUUUGGCUCUGGCUUCCUCAUUUGCCUCUGCCUCUGACCCUAGCCCUCUUCAAGACUUUUGUGUAGCCCUCAAUGACACUAAAAAUGCAGGUAUGUUUUCCCUUAAUUUCUCUGUUUUCAUUUGAAUUUACCGGGGUAUGCAUAAACUAAAGACAUUCAGCAAGGAUGCAAUAAUGCUUCUAUUCUCCAGAACAAUAAUAACUAAAAUGAAUCUUUUCUUUCUUGCGUGCUUGGUAUCAACAAACACUUUUCUCUUUCAUGCAGUAUUUGUGAAUGGGAAGUUCUGCAAGGACCCAAUGCUUGCCAAAGCAGAAGACUUCUUCUUUUCAGGGCUCAACGUGCCAGGAAACACAUCAAAUCAACUGGGGUCAAAAGUCACUCCUGUUAAUGUGGAACAAAUUCCAGGACUUAACACUCUUGGCGUAUCUCUGGCAAGAGUUGACUUUGCACCUUAUGGUGGGCUAAAUCCCCCUCACACUCACCCUCGUGCCACAGAGAUCCUAGUUGUCCUAGAAGGCACACUCUAUGUCGGCUUUGUCACAUCCAACCCGGAUAACCGUCUCAUCACCAAAGUCCUCUACCCUGGCGAUGUUUUUGUCUUUCCGGUUGGUCUCAUCCACUUCCAGCUCAAUAUAGGGAAAACUAAUGCAGUUGCCUUCGCUGCUUUCGGCAGCCAAAAUCCAGGAGUUAUCACUAUUGCAAAGGCAGUCUUUGGCUCAAACCCUCCCAUCAAUCCUGAUGUUCUCACCAAGGCCUUCCAGCUGGACAAGAACGUAGUGAAAUAUCUUCAGUCACAAUUCUGGUGGGAUAACAAUUAGACCAAUAUUCAACAUCCAUGAAGCAGUAGACAGUUUGGAGCAAUAUCUUACAUGUUUCCAUCAUUAUUUAAGUAAUUCUUGUUGAAGUCAAAUAAAGAGGUUGCUUAUGUAUCUCCACUGAUGUAAUUCUCCCUGUAUGUUGGUUUUGGAUUUAUUAUGUUAUUACGGUUUACUCCAAAUUAGUACCAAAUCUCAACUUUUAUCUAGAUCUCAUUGGAAGCACCCUUUCUGAGAAUACUUUAAUUAAGGUCUUGGAAUCUGACAUGGGAAGAUUUAUGCAAAACAUCAGAGGAUUUCCAGAAUUGGGCUAACUUUAUGUUUCUUGCGGACGAACUAUUUAGGAAAGUUGCAAUCUUUUUUUUGAAGAUUAAAGAGGGUCAUUUCAUUAUAUGGAAAUAUUACUUACAAAAACAGACAGUUAUCAACUGGUGUUCCUCCAGUUAAACUGUCCUAGGAUGGCUUACGAAAAAACAGCCAUGACAGCAACCUGUUAAACUAUACAGAGAACAAGAGUCCACCACCCUGCUAUCAGACUCCCAACAAUCAUGUAAUACCCCUCACAAAGUAUUUAUAAAAAAAAAAAAUUAAUUAAAUUAAAAUUAUUAAGCUAUAGUUUUAUAAACAUAAUAAGUAGAUAUUAUUUUAGUAUUUUAUUUAUUUACAAUUAUGACCUUGGGUGUCUUAAUAAUUAGAAAAUAGAAGAAGGGGUCUUUAAGUAAAAGAAGAAGUUUAAUUAAGUCAGUUUUAUUAUCACGUUUAAGUUAGUGGGAUUAAAGGUCAGUUUAUUUAUCCCAUUUAAGUUAGUGGGGUUAGGUAGUUUAUAAGUUUUAAAAGAACAGACAACAACUUAUGUUAGUUCAUUCAUCAGAUUCAAACAACAGACAGUCAGAAAAGCUUAAUAUCAGGGAAGAAGAAAGACAGAGGAGAGGAAAAGAUAUUGCUGAUUAAGGUAUGUUUAGGAAUUAUAUUUUCAUAAUUUGGGUACAAAAACCCUAAAUUAGAUAUAUUUUCUUAUUUUUUUUAUUUAAAUCCGGUACUUUUCUGAUGACUUUUCAGUAGCAUGAUGGGUACCAAUGGAAAGGUCUUGAAAAGAUCUUUCCAAUGGUUUUUGUAGCAUCUUGUUUGGGCUUAUGGUUAGGAAUAUAUGAAUUUUUGAAGUUAAUUAGAAAUCUGGUUUUCAACAGUUUUGACAGCCCGACUUUGGGUCACCGGAACUCCAUAUUUCGGUGACGUUUUUGGUCGUUUCUUUGAGGGCUUUUGAAGUAUGAAAUUAGAUGUUUAAUUUGGCGUCAAUGUCUUGGUUAGAGGCUUCCUGUGUUAAGAGAAUUAAAGCCUCAAAGUAGGCUCAUUGAUACUGGAAACUCAGAAAUCUGGGUAUUUCUGUGAUGAUUUCUUGAAUUUUGGCUUUCGAAACUUAGGAAUCUUGUGGUCUUUUUAAUCGAAACAAAUUUUGGUCUUGUAGUAUGAUAUGCAUACUUUAAAUUGGUGUUGAUUUCAUCACUGGAUAUAAUUCGGGUUAAAAGAUAUGAGAGCUUGAAGUAAGCCAAAUGGCCAUCCAGAUUCUGGAAAUUCCAGAAAACAGAAAAUUUCUUUUUUUAAAUUUGUUUUAAAAAUUGAUUUUAAUUAUUAUGUGAUAAAUUCUAUUGUAAAUUUCAUAAAUAUUGGAUAUGUGAUUUCUACUGUAUUUUUAUGUUAAGAAGUAUGUAUCUUUAUACUUUAUAAAUUUAUUUCUUAAAUUAGUAGAUUUUAUUAAAAUAUCAAAAUUUAUGAAAUUAAUUACAAAUAUGAUUUUUACAAGUGAAAUUAGUAUUAUUUCUCUAUCUGAAAUUUAAAGUCCUUACUGAUUUUAUGAUUUAAGUUUAAUUCUCAACCUUAUUGGAAAUUUUGUUUAAUUCAAAAAUAUAAAUAAUAAUAAUAUAUUACCUUAUUAACAAAAAAAAAAAAUUCAUAAAUUGUAAUAGGAGUCGCUACACACUCUAAGUACUUAGGAUGGUCAACGAAAAGUCGCCUUGUAGAAUCUGUUUGCAAAUUUAGUUCUGAUUUUUGUGUUUCUCGAAAUACUAGGCUACUAAGAGGAUUUUCGGAUUUGCUACUUGAAAGUAAAAUUUACGAGAUCAUGUAAGUGACUGAUAUCCCUUCGGUGUUUUCACACCUUAAAAAUUAGCUUCAAUCUGAAUUUGUACAUGAGAUAUAAUAUUUUGUCCUAUGAUUUAUUAAAAUUGGGUUGAGCAUGCAAAAUGUAUAUGUAUAUAAGUUUAUAUGUUAGAUUUAGAAUGUGGUUUAUGCAAAACGUGAUUUCUGAAUUGGAAAUUUGGAUAUGACUUUGUAUGAUGUAUGCAUAUAUGUUUUCACGAAUAUAAAUAUAAAUAUUUAGUCUGAAACGAAUAUGCUUUUGAGGUGUAUGAGAUAUACUUGAGAAAUUUGAUAUACUGGUUUAUGAACUUUGGGUAAUCUAAAAAUAUAUAUAUUUCUGUUUUGUCUCCUAGCAUGGCUAUGCUCUGACCCUGCCAAUGGGGGUUAAAUGUUGGCCAUGUUGACAUGUAUUCUGUGAUUAGAGAUCGAUCUCCCAACCGCACCACCGGUUACAGAAUAGUGGUAUCUGUGAUAUCUGUUCAGUGCAGCCAAUGGUUGCUUCUUCUGACCCAUGCCACUGGGGUUAAUUGUGGUUCUAUUUCUGACCUAUGCCACAGGGGUUAAGUGUGGUCGUAGCAUGUUACAGGAGACCAUUAAAAGUUAAAUAUGGUGAAUAUAUUUGUUUUGUUAUUUGAAUGCGCAAAUUUUGAAAUAUGUGAUUCCAAAUAAGAUUACCCAAUAUUUUGUCUUGGCAUUUGUAAAUGAUAUUUUGCCCUGAAUGUUUUAAGCAUGCUUAAUCCGGCUGAAGGGAUGUUAGUUACUUGCUGAGUAGUUGGACUCACCCCUUCCUUCAAAUUUUUUUCAAGUUGUGAUUUGGUCAACCACGCGGGAACUUUGGGGAGUGAUGUUUAAUUUAGUAGCACUUAAAUUAUCUAGGAUUUAUUUAAAUAUUAUGAACAUCGUACUAUCUUAAUUAGUAUUCAGACUUUUAUCUUGACUUAGUAGCUUCAUGGUUUUGGAGAUUUAAUUUUGAAUAUUGUCGAAUUAUGAUAUUUGGAAAUUCUGUCAACAGAUAUAGUUUAUAAAUCACUAAAUUUUUCAGGUAUAUCAGUCUCUUUUAGUAAUAGUUUAAGAUAUAUAUUUUAGAGCCUUGCAUGUCUGUAGGAUUAUGCCUUACAGGUAUGCGGCGUCUGUCAUGUCUCGGGUCUGGGGCGUGACAAAUAAACAAGACAAUAAUCAAUAGGUAACCUUCUCAGAACAGCAACAUAAAUCACAGCAAGGCAAACAAUAAACUCAAAACAGUAAACCACAAACACCACCGCAAAAGAACAAGUAAGACUAAGAAACAUGUCUUGAGUCCUAUUUCUUGUUCUUACUUCUCCUGGGACCGUUCAAGGGGCAGAAUUCCUCUUGACCUCUCAUUUCUUGUCACCAUGGUGCUAAGAAGUUAAGGAAAGUUGCAAUCUUAUUUGCCAGAAUCCAGAACACUCUAAAUUUUGUUAAGAAGAAGUCAAAGAACUAGUGCUACUGAGAAGGUUCUACAAAGAAUGCAUGUUAGGACUAGUUGUCAAUCAAUUUGUCUUCAUAGGACCUGAAAUAUUGUGGACCUUAACCCUUCAUGAGAAUGUCUUGGCAUCGCGCAAGCAAAUAUUUUCCCAUUGGUAACCAUCUAGUCUAAGCUUCAAGUUCAGGGCCUUCCUUCAAGUCAAUGGAUUAGUUUUAACAAUUGCGACUGGAUUGUCAUUAUAUAAAUUGUAAACGAUAUGCAACUAUUUCAAUGAGAAAGAGCAAUCUUUAAGAAAAGACUAUUUUUUUAACAAGCUUUUCUAAAUAUAUCGGUUUCACUAGAUUUCUAUUAGACAACUGAUAAGAUCUUUUUCAAAUUUUUAUAAUGCAUUCUGCUCUAAACAAUAAUCUGAUCAAAUUCUAUCCAUCUUGAUAAUCUCUAACAAGAAAUAUUGUUACAUGAAGACACGAGCGUUAUGUGUGUUAACCUUCCUUGAAUUUGACUUCUUAAUUUCGAUUUUGGUGAAUACUUCUGUUAAUUAUGAUUAACAAUUAUAAUUUGUGAAUCUAAAUAUGAAAAGUUUUCUAAUUGGAUGUAAACUUUGACAUAUUAUCAUCGAAGAUCGUUUCAAGAUUUAAUUUUUAAAUUUAAGUUAAUAUCUACCAUACCAUCUCGAAUUUGACGAUAUAUUAACAUAAUUAUAAUAAUUGUAGAAAUUAUAAGUUAAAUUAAGAUGAUUGUGUUAAAUUACAAUAUCAUUUUCAUACUGUUAACUUAUUCUUUUUUGAAUUAUUAAAAAUUUCUUACAAAUGUAUACCUUUAAAUCAUUAAAAAUCCCUUACAAAUGUAUGCAUUAUUAAACGUUUUGUGAAGGCACAAUCAAGAAUACAAUAUUUCUCUUUGAAUUAUAGAUAUAGAAAAUGCCAAUUUUUUUACUCAAAAUUAGGACCUUCAUUUUAAAUUAUAUUUUACUUGUAAAAUAGAACUACAAAAUAUAACCAAUAAGAACCUUAUGAAAUAGAAACUGCCAUAACUAAUUGAAAAUUUAUUUCAUACGAUACCUAAUACAUAUCAAAAACCAAUUCUUUUGCAAAACAAUAACCAGUGAUCAUGUCUUGAAACAAAAACUAUCAUAAUUGUAAGAAUAACCAAAGACUACUCAGAAUGAUUUGGGUUUAUUUUAAUGAGAAGUUUGGAAUAUUCAGUCGACUAUGGACAUUAGUAUUGGAUGUUGCAAUCUGUUCAACAUUAUGCUCUAUUAUAUGUUUCCUGAGUGGCUUAUGGUUAGAUAUGUCAUCAUCACCUACCAAUUUUUUAACUACUCUUCUUUAUUUUCUCUUCAACAAGUUAGCCGGUGUUGCGAUUUUAAGAACUUUAUGAAUGAACAAGUAAGAAAUAGGAAGAGCAAAAAGCUCUAAGAUAGGAUUUUAUCUUCAUAGACCAGAAAAUAUAAUUCUCCCUUAUAAAGAUCGGUGGAACUGAAGUAUCAAAUCCUGAAGUAGCCAUUGAGUAUAAACGAAAAUCAAAGGAUGAUUUGAAAGCAAAGGAAACGUUGAGGAAUUAAUGAAAACGGUCCCUUAAUAUCAAGCAAAAUGCUCUGAUAUCAUGUUAAAAAAAUAGCAAUUUUCUAAAAUAAAUAUAUGAACAAAUAUAGAAGAAAGAAAUCGAGAGAGAUGUGAGAGAACAAAAAAAACUAUUAGACACUAAAUGACAAAAAGCUCCAACUCACUAUUAAAUCAUAUGCCUUUUGUUUAUAUACAUAGAGGAGAGAGAGAGUAAAUGACAGCUCACAAGAAAACAAACACCUGGCUAUACCAAGACUACCAAAAAAGUUUUGCGUUGGAGACUGCAAAAUAUUUCUUUCUGACAGCUCACGAAAACAGAGGAACAAAAAACAAAAUGGUAGGACAAUUUUGCUACUUUGAAGAAACAUCUAGAAAUAUAAAAAAUGACACUAGUAAUAAACUAAAUGACAUAGCAUUUAAUCAAGGCAUAUGUAAAUCACGUGCUUUUCUUCUUCUUUCGUGAACCUCAACCACAAAACCAGUUGUCACGCCCCUGACCAGAUACAUGACAGACGCCGCAUACCUAUAAGGUAUAAUCCUACAGAUAUGCAAGGCUACAAAAUAUAUAUCUUAAACCAUUACUAAAAGAGACUGAUACACUUGAAGAAUUUAGUGAUUUAUAAACUAUAUCUGUCGAUAGAAUUUUCAAAGAUCAUAAUUCGACAAUAUUCAAAAUUAAAUCUCCAAAACCAUAAAUCUACUAAGUGAAGAUAAAAGUCUGAAUACUAAUUAAGAUAGUUCGAUGUUCAUAAUAUUUAAAUAAAUCCUAAAUAAUUUAAGUGCUACUAGAUUAAACAUCACUCCCCGAAAUUUUCACGUGGUUGACCAAAUCACAACCUGAAAAAAAUUUGAAGGAAGGAGUGAGUCCAACUACUCAGUAAGUAACUAACAUCGCUUCAGCCGGAUUAAGCCUGCUUAAAACAUUUAGGCCAAAAUAUAUCAUUUACAAAUGCCGAGACAAAAUAUUGGGUAAUCUUAUUCAGAAUCAUAUACUUCAAAAUUUGCACAUUCAAAUAACAAAACAAUUAUAUUCAUAAUAUUUAACUUUUAAUGGUCUCCCGUAACAUGCUACGACCACACUUAACCCCUGUGGCAUAGGUCAAAAUUAAGACCACAAUUAACCCCGGUGUUGCGGGUCAAAAGAAGCAACCAUUGGCUGCAUUGAACAGAUAUCACAGAUACCACUAUUCUGUAACCAGUGGUGCGGUUGGGAGAUCGCUCUCUAAUCACAGAAUACAUGUCGACAUGGCCAACAUUUAACCCCCAUUGGCAGGGUCAGAGCAUAGCCAUACUAGGAGACAAAACAUAAAUAUAUAUUUUUAGAUUACCCAAAGUUCAUAAAACAGUAUAUCAAAUUUCUCAAGCAUAUCUCAUACAUCUCAAAAGCAUAUUCGUUUUAGACUAAAUAUUUAUGUUUAUAUUCACGAAAACAUAUAUGCAAACAUUAUACAAAGUCAUAUAUAAAUUUCGAAAUCAGAUAUCAUGCUUUGCAUAAGCAACAUUCUAAAUCCAACAUACAAACUCAUAUACAUAUACAUUUUGCAUGCUGAACCCGAUUUUAAUAAAUCAUAGGACAAAAUAUUAUAUCUCAUGUACAAAUUCAAAUUGAGGCUAAUUUUUAAGGUGUGAAAAUACCGAAGGGAUAUCAGUCACUUACCUGAUCUCGUUAAUUUCACUUUCAAGUAGCAAAUCUGAAAAUCCUCUUAGUAGCCUAACAUUUCGAGAAACACAUACAUACAAAAAUCAUAACUGAGUUUGCAAACAAAUCCUACAAGGUGACUUUUCGUUGACCAUCCUAAGCACUUAGGGUGUGUAGCGACUUUUAUUACAAUUUAAAAAUAUUUUUGCUUAAUAGGAUAAUAUUUUAUAAUAUAUAUAUUUUUGAAUUAAACAAAAUUUCCAAUAAGGUUGAGAAUUAAACUUAAAUUAUAAAAUCAAUAAGGAUUUUAAUUUCAGAGAGAGAAAUAACACUAAUUUCACUUGUAAAAAUCAUAUUUAAAAUGAUUAAUUUCAUAAAUUUUGAUAUUUUAAUAAAAUCUACUAAUUUAAGAAAUAAAUUUAUAAAAUGUAAAUAUAUAUACUUUUAGAUAUAAAAAUAUAAUAGAAAUCACAUAUCCAGUAUUUUUUAAGUUUACAACAGAAUUUAUCAUAUAUUAAUUAAAAUUGAAUUUAAAAAAAAUUAAAAAGAUUAAAAGAAUUUUUUUUCUGGAAUUUUCAGAAUCCAGAUGGCCAUUUGGGCUACUUUAUGAACUUGUAACUUUUAACUCGAAAAUUUUCCAGUGAUGAAAUCAAUACCAAUAUGAAUUAUUCAUAUCAUACUAUAACACCAAAAUUUUUUUCGAUUAAAAAGAACACCAAAUUCUCAAGUUUCGAAAGCCAAAUUUCUCAAAAUCGUCAUAAAAAUACCCAGCUUUCUGGGUUUCCAGUAUCAACGAGCCUAAUUUGAGGUUUCAAUUCUCUUAACACAUGAAGCUUCUAACUGAGCCAUUGACUCCAAAUUAAACAUCUAAUUUUAUACUACAAAAGCCCUCAAAGAAAAGACCAAAAACGUUGCCGGAAUAUGGAGUUCCGGUGACCCAAAGUCGGGCUGUCAAAACUGUUGAAAACCAGAUUUUUAAUUAACUUCAAAAAUUCAUAUCUUCCUAACCAUAAGGCCAAAUAAGAUGUUACAAAAACCUUUGGAAAGAUCUUUUCAAGACCUUUCCAUUGGUACUCAUCAUGCCACCGGAAAGUCAUCAAAAAAGUGUCGGACUUGAAUAAAAGGUAAGGGAAUACAAAUAAUUCAGGGCCUUUUGUGUGCCCAAAUUAUGAAAAUAUAAUCCCAAACAUGCCUUAAUCAGUAAUCUCCUUCCCUUUUCUCUGUCUUUCUUCUUCCCUGAUAUCAAGCUCUUCUGACUGCCUGUUGUUUGAGUCUGAUGAACAAACAGACAUGUGUUUCUGUCUAUUCUUAAACUAACUUAUCCACUAAUUUAAACGUGAAAUAAACUGACCCUUAAUCCCACUAACUUAAACGUGAGAAAUAAACUGACUUUAAUUAAACUUCUUUAUUUACUAAAAGACCCUUUCUUUUAUUUCCUAAUUAUUAAAGCACCAAAGGUCAUAACUGUAAAUAAAUAAAAUACUAAAUAAUAUCUACUUAUUAUCUUUAUAAAACUAUAGCUUAAUAAAUUUAAAUGUUUUAUAUUAAAUACUUUGUGAGGGGUAUUACAUCCUUCCUUCCUUAAAAGGAGUUUAGUCCCUUAAACUCUUACCUUGGUCCUCAAAAAGGUGGGGAUACUUCUCUUUGAUAUUUUCUUCCAACUCCCAAGUCGCUUCUCGUUCUGUAUGAUUACUCCAUUGGACCUUAACAUAGAGAAUAGUCCGCCUUCUUAGAAUUUGCUCCUUUCUAUCCACAAUACGUAUAGGACGCUCAUCAUACGACAAAUCUUCUCUGAGUCUCAAAGGAGCUAACUCUACAACAUGACCAGGAUCCGAAAUAUACUUUCUCAACAAAGAAACAUGAAACACGUUAUGCACUCCCGAUAAAACAGGUGGAAGUGCCAACCUAUAAGCCACAUCAGCAACCUUAUCCAAAAUCUCAAACGGACCCACAUAACGAGGACUAAGUUUUCCUCGAAUUCCAAAUCGCAUUACUCCUCUAGUAGGUGAAACUCGCAAGAAGACAUGAUCUCCAACCUCAAAUUCUAACCUCCUUCUUCUAUUGUCCGCAUAACUUUUCUAUCUACUUUGAGCCGCACGAAGAUGUUCUAUGAUUAAUUGAACCUUCUCAACUGCUUGCUGAAUAAGAUCUGGACCUAAUAACUGUCUUUCACCCACAUCAUCCCAACAAAGAGGUGAUCUACACUUCCUACCAUACAAAGCUUCAAAUGGAGCCAUUUGGAUACUAGAUUGAUAGUUAUUAUUAUAAGCAAAUUUUGCCCACAACAAGUGUCGAUCCCAAGAACCCCCAAAAUCCAUGACACAAGCUCUCAACAUGUCCUCAAGAAUUUGAUUAAUUCUCUCAGACUGACCAUCUGUUUGGGGAUGAUAAGCAGUACUAAAAUUAAGUCUGGUACCCAAAGCUUUAUGCAGACUCUCCCAAAAUUUUGCCACAAAUCAAGAAUCUCGAUCAGAUACAAUGGACACUAGUACCCCAUGUAGUCUCACAAUCUGCUCCACAUACAACUCUGCUAACUUUUCCAACGACAUUCUCGUACGAAUAGCCAAGAAGUGAGCAGACUUUGUUAAUCUAUCCACAAUCACCCAGAUGCCAUCAUUACCUUUUGGGGUUCUUGGUAAACCAGAUAUAAAGUCCAUAGUAAUUCGUUCCCAUUUCCAUUCUGGAAUAGGGAGGGGUUGCAACAAUCCUGCUGGCCUCUAAUGUUCAGCCUUGACUUGUUGACAUGUCAAAUAUUUGGCUACAAACUGUGGAAUCUCCUUCUUCAUAUUGCUCCACCAAAAAGUGUUCUUCAAAUCUUUAUACAUCUUGGUACCUCCAGGAUGGAUUGUAUAAUUACUAUAAUGAGCUUCCUCCAAAAUUUCUCUCUUCAAUUCUGCAUCAUCAGGGACACAAAUCCUAUCACCAACCUCAAAGAGCCAUCAUCAUGAAUUUUAAAGUCUGGUUUCAAACCAGAUUCAACCCCAAGUUUAAUGUGCUGAAGUCGAGGAUCAUUUACUUGGGCUGUCUUAAUUCGGUGAAUCAAAGUUGGCUGUACUCGUAUGUUAGCCAAUAAUGCACCAAAACCAUGCAUACGUACACCAAUAUCCAUCCUCCGCAAGUCUUCCAAAAUCUAUUUCUGGGAAGUAAUCGUUGCAGCCAUAUUCCCAGAAGUCUUCCUACUUAAAGCAUCAACAACUUUAUUCGCCUUACCUGAAUGGUAAUUGAUGGUCAAGUCAUAAUCCUUCAACAAUUCUAAUCAUCUUCUCUGUCGCAUAUUCAUUUCCUUCUACUUGAAAAGAGACUUCAAACUUUUAUGAUCUGUAAAGACCUCACAAGAAUCACCAUACAGAUAAUGUCGUCAAAUCUUUAAGGCGAAAACCACCGCAGCCAACUCCAAAUCAUGAGUAGGAUAAUUCUCCUCAUAAGGUUUCAACUACCUAGAAGCAUAAGUAAUCACCUUAUCAUCUUGCAUAAGAACACACCCAAGUCCCUUUUUGGAAGCGUCACUGUAAACAACAAAUCCCUUACCACUAGUAGGUAUGGUAAGUAUAAGAGCGGAUACUAAUCUUUUCUUUAACUCCUCAAAGCUCCUUUCACAGUCAUUUGUCCACUCGAAGCGAACCUCUUUCCGUACCAAUCGGUCAAAAGCAAAGCCCAGAAAACUGUGAAUCUUUGAAACAUUAUUUGGUCGCUUCCAAGUCACCACUACUUCAACUUUCUUUAAAUCCACCGAAAUCCCAUCCUUUGACACCACAUGCCCAAGGAAAGCAACACUAGAAAGCCAGAAAUCACAUUUUUUCAAUUUAGUAAACAAUUGCUUCUGCCUCAAAGUCUCCAAAACAACCCUUAAAUACUUUUCAUGAUCUGUUGAGCUAGGGGAAUACACUAGAAUAUCAUCAAUAAAAACAACCACAAACUUAUCCAAAUAAGGUUUGAAAACCUUAUUCAUCAAGUCCAUAAAAGUAGCUGGAGCAUUUGUCAACCCAAAAGGCAUAACAAGGAACUCAUAAUGCCCAUAUCGGGUACGAAAAGCAGUUUUAGGGACAUCUUCAAUUCUCACCUUCAACUGAUGGUAACCAAACCGAAAAUCAAUUUUGGAGAACACCUAAGCGCCUUUUAAUUGAUCAAACAAAUCAUCUAUCCGAGGUAAAUGAUACCUAUUCUUCACAGUUGCCUUGUUUAACUCUCGAUAAUCAAUGCACAACCUCAUACUCUCAUCCUUUUUCUUUACAAAUAACACUGGAGCUCCCCAAGGAGAUACACUAGGUCUAAUAAAGCCAUUAUCAAGAAGUUCUUGUAACUACUCUUUCAACUCCUUCAAUUCUGCAGGAGCCAUUCUAUAAGGAGCUUUAGAAAUAGGACCAGUUCCUAGAACCAAAUCAAUAGAGAAAUCAAUCUCCCUAUCAAGAGGUAAAUUAGGUGGAUCUUCAGGAAAAACAUCAGGAAAUUCCCUCACAAUAGGAAUCUCUUCAAUCCUCAACUCCUUCAUUCUAGUGUCUGUAACAGUUGCCAAAAAUCCUUUACAACCACAAGCAAGCAAUCGCCUAGCUUUCAAAGCAGAGAUGAUUCACAAAUGAGUGUAAAUACCACUACCACAAAAAUAAAAAGGUGUUUCCCCAAGGAUCUUAAAGUCCACCCUUUUCCCUCGACAGUCAACUUUGGCAAAGUUUGCAACUAACCAAUCCAUCCCCAAAAUUACAUCAAAAUCUUGCAUAUUUAAAACAUGAAGAUCUGCAAGCAAUUCUCUAUCAUCAAUCCUUACCACACACAUCUUACAAAUCUAAUCUGACAUAAUUUCACCUCUAACUAGAGUGUCUACGCAUAAUUCAUAAUCCAGAAGCAUACAAGGCAAAGUAAACUUUCGAACAAAUGCAACAGAUACAAAAGAAUGAGAUGCACCGGUAUCAAACAACACAUGAGCAAAAGCUGAGGCAACUAGCAGUGUACCUGAGACAACGGUGUUGGAUGCCUCUACAUUUGACUGAGUGAUAGCAUAACCACGCCCCUGAGUGCGAGGUCUUCCCAUUUUUUGAUGUCUAGAAGAAGGUGCUUGCGUAGUCUGAACAACAUGAGUGGGCUGAGUCCUUUGCGCUGUAGUUUCAAAGGUUCGAGAGUUUUGUGGCUUCUGCACAGAUUGACAUUCUGGGAGGACUAAAGGACAAUAAGCAAUACGAUGGCCCAAUUGGCCACAUCUAAAACAAGCACCAGUAACACGCUUAUAUUCAGUAGCUUGAUGUCCUCCACCACACACUGAACACCUAAGCCCUUGUUGGGAUGUCUUGCCAUGGUACGAUUGAGUUCUCCAAGGAGGAAGUCUAUCCUUAAAAGUAGCGAAAUCUCGAGACUUUUCAGUAGUUUGAAAUUUAGAAGGACUACUAAAAGCUCUCUUACCUCGAAAGUCUGAAUCUUUGCCCUUUUUUUUCUGAAAAUCUUUCCUUGCCUCUUAAGUCUCUCUCCAUAUAGCAUCUAAGGAUUUUGCCCUACCAACCACUUCAUUGUAGCUGAUCAAGUGCAAUGGAGCUAAGCCUCUGUGGAUGUGAGCAUUCAAACCAUUUUCGAACCUCCUGGCCCUACUCUCAUCGUCAGAAACUAGAGCAGUGACAAACUUGGAAAACCGAUCAAACUCAGCCUCAUAGUCAUCCACUGUCAUACUGCCCUUAACCAGAUUAAGGAACUCUCUCUCCAACUGUAACAGCUUGCUUCGAGGGAAAUACUUGGCAUAAAAAGUAAUGCAAAAAUUCUCCCAAUUGAAGAACUCAGGGUCAUUGUCAUGAGUGCGCGUUACUCCUUUCCACCAAUUAUGUGCACUUCCUUGUAAUAGAUAGACUGCGAAUCUAAUUUUGUCUUGAUCACUGGAACGCAUGGCAACAAAAGCUUUCUCCAUCUCCUCAAUCCAUAAUUCUGCAUCAUCCGGGUUUAUGGAACCCUUGAAAGGAGGAGGGGCUAUCUUUAAACUCACCUAAAGCCUUCCAGUUAGAAGAAUUGUCAACCUGUUGGACCGGUUGUAGGCAUUGUCGUUCUCCCUAACCAAACCAGCUACCUCCUGUAUCAAGUUCAACACUCUAUCAUCAUGUCCAGCCACAACACCUUGUGUCCCCUCAAUCGGGUUUGUAAGAGGUCGGUCAAUUUCAACGGCCAUAUGAGCAUAUGAUGUUUCAACAUCAUCUUGAUUUUGGCUUAGAGGAUUUGGAAUUCUCUCAUAACGAGACCUCCUAACACCAACUACUCUAGCACUAGCCACAAGUUCAGCGAGAUUAGGCUCGCGGUCUCGAUGAGGAGGCAUACUGAUUUUUUAUAACAAGAAAAAUUAACAUUAACAUUUUUUUUUACACUAACACAAAGCAACCAUAAAAGUAUAACAAACAUGAAUUGAGAGAAAACGUCCCAAUCCUUUUUUUUUUUUACCCAUCUCUCGAACCUCGCACAAGUGUUAUGUAACUACAUAAUUAUGCCUAACCUGGCUCUGAUACCACUAAAUCUAUCACGCCUCUGAUCCGAGAUAUGACAGACGCCACAUACCUGCAAGGUAUAAUCCUACAAACAUGCAAGGCUUUAAAAUAUAUAUCUUAAACCAUUACUAAAAGAGACUGAUAUACUUGAAGAAUUUAGUGAUUUAUAAACUAUAUCUGUCGAUAGAAUUUUCAAAGAUCAUAAUUCGACAAUAUUCAAAAUUAAAUCUCCAAAACCAUAAAGCUACUAAGCCAAGAUAAAUGUCUGAAUACUAAUAAAGAUAGUUCGAUGUUCAUAAUAUUUAAAUAAAUCCUAAACAAUUUAAGUGCUACUAGAUUAAACAUCACUCCUCGAAAUUCCCGCGUGGUUGAUCAAAUCACAACCNUGAAAAAAUUUUGAAGGAAGGAGUGAGUCCAACUACUUAGCAAGUAACUAACAUCCCUUCGGCCGGAUUAAGCAUGCUUAAAACAUUUAAGCCAAAAUAUAUCAUUUACAAAUGUCGAGACAAAAUAUUGGAUAAUCUUAUUCAAAAUCAUAUACUUCAAAAUUUACGCAUUCAAAUAACAGAACAAUUAUAUUCACAAUAUUUAACUUUUAAUGGUCUCUCGUAACAUGCUACGACCACACAUAACCCCUGUGGCAUAGGUCAAAAAUAAAACCACAAUUAACCCCGGUGGUACAGGUCAGAAGAAGCAACCAUUGGCUACACUGAACAGAUAUCACAGAUACCACUAUUCUAUAACCGGUGGUGCGGUUGGGAGAUCGCUCUCUAAUCACAGAAUACAUGUCGACAUGACCAACAUUUAACCCCCAUUAGCAAGAUCAAAGCAUAGCUAUACUAGGAGACAAAACAUAAAUAUAUAUUUUUAGAUUAUCCAAAGUUUAUAAAACAGUAUAUCAAAUUUCUAAAGCAUAUCUCAUACACCUCAAAAGCAUAUUCGUUUCAGACUAAAUAUUUAUAUUUAUAUUCACAAAAACAUAUAUGCAUACAUUAUACAAAGUCAUAUAUAAAUUUCGAAAUCAGAUAUCAUGCUUUGCAUAAGCAACAUUCUAAAUCCAACAUACAAACUCAUAUACAUAUACAUUUUGCAUGCUGAACCCGAUUUUAAUAAAUCAUAGGACAAAAUAUUAUAUCUCAUGUACAAAUUCAAAUUGAGGUUAAUUUUUAAGGUGUGAAAACAUCGAAGGGAUAUCAGUCACUUACCUGAUCUCGUUAAUUUCACUUUCAAGUAGCAAAUCUGAAAAUCUUCUUAGUAGCCUAACAUUUCGAGAAACACAUACAUACAAAAAUCAUAACUGAGUUUGCAAACAGAUCCUACAAGGUGACUUUCCGUUGACCAUCCUAAGCGCUUAGGAUGUGUAGCGACUUCUAUUACAAUUUAGAAAUAUUUUUGCUUAAUAAGAUAAUAUUUAUAAUAUAUAUAUUUUUGAAUUAAACAAAAUUUCCAAUAAGGUUGAGAAUUAAACUUAAAUUAUAAAAUCAAUAAGGAUUUUAAUUUCAGAGAGAGAAAUAACACUAAUUUCACUUGUAAAAAUCAUAUUUAUAAUUUUUCAGAAAAUUUUGAUAUGUUAAUAAAAUUUACUAAUUUAAGAAAUAAAUUUAUAAAAUGUAAAUAUAUAUACUUUUAGAUAUAAAAAUAUAAUAGAAAUCACAUAUCCAGUAUUUUUUAAGUUUACAACAGAAUUUAUCAUAUAUUAAUUAAAAUCGAAUUUAAAAAAAAUUAAAAAGAUUAAAAGAAUUUUUUUUUCUGAAAUUUUCAGAAUCGAGAUGGCCAUUUGGACUACUUUAUGAACUUGUAACUUUUAACUCGAAAAUUUUCCAGUGAUGAAAUCAAUACCAAUAUGAAGUAUUCAUAUCAUACUACAACACCAAAAUUUUUUUUGAUUAAAAAGACUACAAAAUUCUCAAGUUUCGAAAGCCAAAUUUCUCAAAAUCGUCACAAAAAUACCCAGCUUUUUGGGUUUCCAGUAUCAAUGAGCCUAUUUUGAGGCUUCAAUUCUCUUAACACAGGAAGCUUCUAACUGAGCCAUUGACUCCAAAUUAAACAUCUAAUUUCAUACUACAAAAGCCCUCAAAGAAACGACCAAAAACGUUGCCGGAAUAUGGAGUUCCGGUGACCCAAAGUCAGGCUGUCGAAACUGUUGAAAACUAGAUUUCUAAUUAACUUCAAAAAUUCAUAUCUUCCUAACCACAAGGCCAAACAAGAUGCUACAAAAACCAUUGGAAAGAUCUUUUAAAGACCUUUCCAUUGGUACCCAUCAUGCCACCGGAAAGUCAUCGAAAAAGUGCCGGACUUGAAUAAAAGUUAAGGGGAUACAAAUAAUUCAGAGCCUUUUGUGCCCAAACUAUGAAAAUAUAAUCCCAAACAUACCUUAAUCAGUAAUUUCUUUCCCUUUUCUCUGUCUUUCUUCUUUCAUGAUAUCAAGCUCUUCUGACUGCCUGUUGUUUGAGUCUGAUGAACAAACAGACGUGAGUUUCUAUCUAUUCUUAAACUAGCCUAUCCACUAACUUAAACGUGAAAUAAAUUGAUUCUUAAUCCCACUAACUUAAACGUGAGAAACAAACUGACUUUAAUUAAACUUUUUUAUUCACUAAAAGACCCCUUCUUUCAUUUCCUAAUUAUUAAAGCACCAAAGGUUAUAAUUGUAAAUAAAUAAAAUACUAAAAUAAUAUCUACUUAUUAUUUUUAUAAAACUAUAGCUUAAUAAAUUUAAAUGUUUUAUAAUAAAUACUUUGUGAGGGGUAUUACACCAGUGAAGUACUUUCCUUCCAGAAACAAAAGCCAAUAUUUCAACAAAUCCACUUCCAGUUCAAUAUAGGGAAAACUAAGGUUGUCGCCUUUGCUGGUCUCAACAGCCAAAAUGCAGGGGUUAUAACUAGAAAAAAUUGUGAGAAAUAACUUUCUUCAUAAGAUCAAUUCAAAAAUAUCAUUUUUUUUUAUAAUUUUAACUAUUUUGGUCAAUUUUUGGCAUAACUUGACAAUAAUACCCCUUAAACAAUUUCAGACAAAUUAAAAUAAUUUCAGUUUUCUCUCUCCCGCCAUACGGAUAAAAAUUUCAAAAUUAAAUCUCGAUUUCUCUCUUUACUCAAAUAUGUCUAUCUCGUCAUCCAAUUUGUAGAGAUGACAUCAAGCUCUUUCUUAUUUUGUUUUAUUUUUUUAGAUAGUGGAUCUUGGGGUUCUUAAGGGCGAUGAACAGCGAUUUUGCUCUUUGCAGAUAGCGAUUUUGCUUAGGGAGAAAAAACAUCUAAAGUAUGUUUGAUGGGUUUUAUAGUGUUUCACAGUUUUGUUCUGUUUGGGAUUAAGAUAAUUGUUAAGCAUGUUUGCUAGGGAUUUUAAUUUUUUUUAUGGGAUUUUGAGUUGAAACUAUUCAGGAAAUAUUUUGUAAAUAGGGUAUAUUUUGUUUUUGUAUAAGGGAAGUGAGCAAGGCCUCCAAAUAGGGAUAUAUUUUCUCUUGCUUUGGAGAGUUAUGGAGUUUUGCAACCUAUCUUUUAUGAAAUACACAAUUCCAUAGCUUAGUAAAAAAAAAGUAUUUGUUUUAGGUUUUUGAGUUUAUUGGUUUAUUCAUAGAACCCUAAAAUUGAGAAGUUGAAAUUGAUUAGAUUGGUUUUUAAGUAUUAUGAGAUUAGUUUUUAGGUAUUGCGUGACUUAAUCACUGUGUGACUUGUUUUUAGGCAUUACGUGAUUGGUUUUAAGUAUUACGUGAUCGAAUUUUAAACAUUGCAUGAAUGAUUUUUAAACAAUGCCUAAGUUACACAAUGCCUUACUAACAAGUCACGCAAUACCUAUCAACUAGUCACGCAAUGCCUUAUCAGAAGCUAGUCAUGCAAUGCCUUAUCAAAAACUAGUCACGCAAUACCCAAAGUUAGUCAUGCGAUGCCUAUCAACUAGUCACGCAAUGCCUAUCAACUAGUCAUGCAAUGCCUUAUCAGAAACUAGUCACGCAAUGCUUUAUCAAAAACUAGUCACGAAAUGCCCAAAGUCAAUCACGUAAUGCCCAAAGUGAGUCACGUAAUGCCUAUCAACUAGUCACACAAUGCCUUAUCAGAAACUAGUUACGCAAUGCCUUAUCAAAAACUAGUCACGCAAUGCCCAAUGUCAGUCACGCAAUAUCUAAAGUCAGUCACGCAAUACCUAAAAACUAGUCACGUAAUUCUCAAAAAUUACCAAAACUACUGAAUUCCAUUAACAAGAUCAACAACUUCAAAUGAUCCACUAUAUUCCAUUUAACAAUAUAAUUAAUGAAUAUGAAUGCUCAAAAUGUUCAAAAGUUUUUUUUCAUAUGUCAAAAAUCACUCUAAAAUGCUUAAAAAUGCUCAAAACGCUCACAGGUUUUCUUCGUGUAUCAAAAACAACUCCAAAAUGCUCAAAAUGCUUAGAUAUUUUUCUUUCUGAUAAGGAAUACUCCAGAGAUAAAUAGUUUGAUGAAGAAAGCUCAAAAAAUAUGAAUCAGUUUAAGGCGCAAACCUAAACAUACUUGACUCGUUAAUAGGUUUUGUGUUGAGACGCGAAGUCAAAUAAACGGGUCGAUUUUAUUAAGGGUAAUUUUGUCUGAAUUUUAAUUCUCUUGGUUAAAAAUAGUUAAAAUUAUAAAGAGAUCUAUUGUUAAAAACACAUUAUGCAUAGGGCCCAUUUAAAAAAAGAACCCUUUGCUAAGGCCGUCUUUGGCUCACACCCACCAAUCAAUCCGGAUGUUCUCACAAAGGCCUUCAAGUUGGACAAGAGUGUGGUCACAUAUCUUCAGUCCCGGUUCUAGUCAGAUUAAAAACUAAUUUAAGAGCCAAAUCAAAACCCAGAAGUUUGUUACUUGUUUUGAAUAAUGUUGCCAUUAAUUUUCUACAUGAAAGUCAUAUCGUUCUACUUACUGUAAUACAAUAAACAGGCUNNNNNNNNNNNNNNNNNNNNNNNNNNNNNNNNNNNNNNNNNNNNNNNNNNNNNNNNNNNNNNNNNNNNNNNNNNNNNNNNNNNNNNNNNNNNNNNNNNNNNNNNNNNNNNNNNNNNNNNNNNNNNNNNNNNNNNNNNNNNNNNNNNNNNNNNNNNNNNNNNNNNNNNNNNNNNNNNNNNNNNNNNNNNNNNNNNNNNNNNNNNNNNNNNNNNNNNNNNNNNNNNNNNNNNNNNNNNNNNNNNNNNNNNNNNNNNNNNNNNNNNNNNNNNNNNNNNNNNNNNNNNNNNNNNNNNNNNNNNNNNNNNNNNNNNNNNNNNNNNNNNNNNNNNNNNNNNNNNNNNNNNNNNNNNNNNNNNNNNNNNNNNNNNNNNNNNNNNNNNNNNNNNNNNNNNNNNNNNNNNNNNNNNNNNNNNNNNNNNNNNNNNNNNNNNNNNNNNNNNNNNNNNNNNNNNNNNNNNNNNNNNNNNNNNNNNNNNNNNNNNNNNNNNNNNNNNNNNNNNNGUGGUUAGCUAUCUUCAGUCCCGGUUCUGGUCAGAUUAAAAACUAAUUUAAGAGCCAAGUCAAAACCCAGAAGUUUGUUGCUUGUUUUGAAUAAUGUUGCCAUUAAUUUUCUACAUGAAAGUCAUAUUAUUCUACUUACUGUAAUACAAUAAACAGGCUGGUUGAUGAUGGACCUCUCCAGUCUCCUCUGUCCUUGUGAUCAUUCUGGGUAUAAAAAUCAUAAUAUAUAUACGUCAAUUUGCAAUCUCUCUCUCAUGCUCACAUGUGUAUGCAAGGUAAAAAGCAGAUAGAAUUUUACAUAUACAAGUCAAGUAACUUUGAAGCAAUAUACUUUGUAUUCUUUUGCGAGUGUCAAAAUACAGUGCAAAAAUGAGAGGUUGAUUACCCAGUGGUCUGAGGUGUGCACUAGUAAUGAUAAACAUUGUCUGAUGAAGAGGUUGAGAUAUGAACUACUUCAACAUAACAUUAUAACCAGAGAAAUCAGAUUAGGGUGAAAAUUAGACAGGAUAUUAAUUUGCUGACUCUUGGGGUUGAAUCAAUUACAUAUUCAACACCAAACCCUGCCUUCCCCUGCAAGGUACACUGCAUAUAAAAUAAUUCUGAAGGUGGAAUUCUACAAAACCAAAUGCCUUACCUGUUAGAUAAGUUGGUAUGUUCAACUUCGAUCCAAUUAAUUGUGUCCAAAACAUCACUAAGAAGACAAGACAUGUCCCUCACUUUAUAGAGUAACCUGGUAGAUAUUAGGUGGAAAAAAAAUUUGAGGUGCAGAACGUUCUCUCAGUAUGCUUGUGAAACUAACUAAGGUUUUUUAUUUUUAUUUUCUUUAAUGGCCAGACAAGUUGAUGAGUUGUUAGACAAUCUAGAAUUGGAAUAUAUCCAUUAGGAUACUAAAGAGUUAAAUCUGUAAUGAAUUGAUUUUGUGACUCGGUGAAGUCAGUUGCUUAUUGAUGUAAUUAGAUCUUGAAUACUGGUGUAUGAGCCUAAACCGAAGCUGUCAGUUUGUCCAUAUAUUAAAGUACAAAUGCCUUGCCCUUGCUGCUACAUUUUGCCACAGCUAUCUACUUCAUCUGUUAGCUCAGGGCCUUGCACAAUCACCAUGUUGGUUACUUGCUCCUUUACUCCCUUUUCUGUUUCUGCCUUUUUCAGUAAUUCAGUUGUUUUAAAAUUGAGUGAUCUUACAAGAACUCAUGAGUCAUGACAAAUUUGAAAGACAAGUCCCUAUAAAUGUCAAGAGAAAUGCUUCUGCUCUUAAUUUCUUGUGGCAUCUAAUUAACUACGUAUGCUUCUUUGCCUAAUAUUAAUCUGAUGAUAGGUAGAAGCUGCCAUGAAAAUAUGAAACGCUUCUCAGAACACAUCAUAAGAUAAACUGAUUAAUUACAAAGGAUACAUAUAUAAUGUCAGCAACAAAUUUGUAUUAAAUAAUAACAUGUGAUCUCUCACAUAAAUAUGAUUCAAAGUCUUUGAAGUUACAGAAGUCUUCAAGCUUACCUUUUUUUUUUCACGUCUGGAAGACUGACUAGGCAAAUUUGAGUCAUUACACGUUACACGGUCACAAUUGCAAGUUGCAAUCCAUUGAACAGGAUCUGCAUAGUAUAAUCUGUUGAUAAUUUUUUUGUAGCUCAAUGUCAUUAUCACCUACCAAUACUUUUAACAACUAUUCUUAUUGUUCAUUAAUAAUGUUAUGCAAGAUAAUUAAUCACUUUCUAUUUUGCCAUUAGGCUUCCUUGGUUAGAUCACCAAAUAAAGAAAUCACCAACUCACCUCAAUGCUAAAAGAUUAUUCAUGUCUAUAAGAGUUACAACUGAGUCAUCACCCACAAUCUUGAAACAGUUUCUUCCAGCCACAGUUUUGCCAAUUCUAAGAUCAAUUCAAGGCAGCCCUAAUUAAUUUUUGGCUAAUUGAAGAUGUUUGAGUCUAGCAUGGUUAAUUGAACUUGCAAAAAAAUUAUUAAUGUUGUGAAUGUGAUAAGCACAGAUGUAAUAUGUUUGACUAUUAAUGAACAUGUCAGAUUAGACUUUGUCAACUGAAAAUAUAUAAUAUGUUGAUUAGUUAGAAACCUUCAAUGUGGCAUAAGUUUUUGUCUCAUUAGCACUUCUUAGAUCAUGCUAAUUAUAAGGAAUGAAUUGAGUUCAACAGACAAAACUUUGCCGGCUAUUUGCAGCAACUCCAGAUAUAAAUCAAUUAUCUCACUCAAAUAAUGAAUAAAAAAAAAGAAAAAGUUUAAGGUAUGAAGAAGACAAUGCAAAACUGUUUAUGAUCAAUUCAUAUUUGAUGGUAUGUGAUGCACUUCCUAAAUAUCUAUAAACUUAUUUACUAGGGAAACAUUCAUUUGCUACCUAAUCCAAAUUUUUUAUAAAUGUUUGUACUUUCAAAGAAGUGGCAAAUAAGUUAUGACUUUUUCAUAAUGUGGAGAAUUAUACCCCAACUGCAGGUUAUCAAAUAUGAACUUGUUUCUAGCAUUUCUUUCCACAAAGGCAACACAGAAUCAAUCAACGCAUCAAACUUCAAUCCAAAAAGAAAAAUAUAGGAAAGAUACAUAGAAGUCUUAAGUGAAUUAUGACCUGUUCCCCGACAAUAUUAAAAUGAUGUAAGCCAUGGAUGAGGAAAACGGGACUAGAAAAUAGAAAAUAGAAAAUAACUAGUUGUAAAGGCACAUGCCAGUAGUCACCAACUUCAUUGAGAGGAAACAAGGACCAAUUCAUUUGUUUUCCAUCUAUAAAUAGAACUUUUUGCCAUGCACGAUUUCUCACCCCGCUCCCAAGUAGUAGCAUACAGCUCCACAACGUAGGAUAGAUUUCCUUCCAGCGGAAUUGUAAUGAAAGGAGUUCAACUUUUCCUUGUAGUUUCUGCCUUCUUGGCCUUCGCUUGGUCAUUAGCCUCAGCUUCUGACCCUGACCCUCUCCAAGACUUCUGUGUAGCCAUCAAUGACACCAAGGACGGUGGUAUGUUAUAGUAUUACGUUUUGUCUCUCAGGACUUUCAUGUUAAUUAUUAUUUUAUGUCAAUGACUAUAAUUUCCAUUCCCAGCAAUAGUUUUCUUCAUAAUUAACGAACAUUACUUUCAUUGAUGCAGUGUUCGUAAAUGGGAAGUUCUGCAAGGACCCAAAGCUUGCCAAGGCAGAAGACUUCUUCUAUUCAGGGCUCAAUAUCCCCAGAAACACAUCAAAUCCAGUGGGAUCAACUGUGACUCAGGUCAAUGUUGCACAAAUACUAGGACUUAACACUCUUGGCAUAUCUCUUGCUCGAAUUGACUAUGCUCCGUACGGAGGCCUAAACCCCCCUCACACUCAUCCUCGUGCCUCUGAGAUCCUAGUGGUUUUAGAGGGCACACUUUACGUUGGCUUUGUUACAUCCAACCCGGAGAAUCGUCUCAUCACCAAAGUCUUGUACCCUGGAGAUGUGUUUGUUUUCCCAGUUGGUCUCAUCCACUUCCAGCUCAAUAUAGGGAAAACUAAUGCAGUUGCCUUUGCUGGUCUCAGCAGCCAAAAUCCAGGAGUAAUCACUAUUGCAAAGGCAGUCUUUGGCUCAAACCCUCCCAUCAAUCCUGAUGUUCUCACCAAGGCCUUCCAGCUGGACAAGAAUAUUGUUACCUCUCUUCAGUCCCGGUUCUGGUGGGACAACAAUUAAUUUGAAUAAUGUGUCAUGAAUCCAUAAGAUAUGGUAGUUUUUUAUUUUGAAUAAUGUGUCAUCCAUCUUCCUUGCUGUUGUCAUAAACCUAAUAAUAAUGGAUCAAGUGAUUACAUUUGUACCUCUCCUUUGCUGUGUUCAGCAUUCUAUAUAUUAAAAUUUUUUAAGCCAUAACAUUGCAUUCUAUGUAUUCUGUGCGCCUUUGAACAUGUGGAGUGAAAUUUAUAAUUAGUGGUUAAUAGUGCAAUGCUGUCAAGAGGGAGAAAUGUACAAUUGGUGAAGUUGAUAUUUGCAGACCUGAUUAGAAAAUUAACGGGGCAAGUUAAUCAGUACAGUUAGGAAAAAAGACUAUAAAUUUGGCAAAUAAAGAAUGCAGGGUAGGUUAAAUAAAAUGUGUACAAUUAACAUCACACAACCUCUCCUCCUCUUUCCUCCCAAGGAAACCCUAAAGGAAUAAUAAUUCUGAUCCUUUCAGAUGCAUGCAUGAUAAGCAGGUUUCCUAAGUUUGCAGGUCAAUUCUCCAAACAAUAAGACCUUAAACGCAUCCUAAGGAAAAAACAUGAUCUGGCGAGAUGACAGCAAUUAUUGAUAUAAGUGAUCACAGUGAAAUGAGACCUAUUAGUUACUAAGGCUUUUAAUUGAGUGUGUGACCUGCAACAUCGAUCCUUGAAUUUGGGCAAAUGAUGCCUGACCUUACAAGAAUUUAAGUGUAACUUAUGUGUGCAUGCCAAACUUUUAUCAGACAAUAAUGUGAAUAAUGAUUUAAUAAUAGGCCUAAGUCUCACCCAGCAAGGACAAAGUGUAUUAAAGUAAUAGCAAUUUUCCAAUACUUUCUCAUCUAGAUGUCUGAAUGUUGCGAACACUGAUGUUUGGAUGUUGAAAUCAGCUCAACUUAGUUUGCUUUUUAUAGUUAUCAGAUAUUAUAUAAGAAGAUAAAAGGAACAAAUACAUUUACUUAUUCUUCUUUCUAAAGCCAUAUGUUUAUACUUAGUAAAACAAAGUUUAGAAGAUUUUCCUGACAAUUUAUAACCUUUGUUUAUGUUCAGGAUUUCUGUGAUCUUUUGCUAAUUAUUAUUAUAUUUUUAUCUUUGUAGUAUUUAGCAAGUUAACUGACUAGUUUACCAUUCUGCUUUUCUGCUUAAACAACAGUUCAAAAAAGAAAAGAAAAAAUAAUAAAGAGAAAAACAUAGCCUAAUUGGUUCACUUUAGCCUAUUCAGGCCUGGGUUUAGCAUGCACUUCAGAAGGGCCUAUAUCUUGAUUGUAGCUCACAUCUAUACUUCUCCAACUGUUGCUUCAGUGAUUAGUUCAAAGUACUGCAUUCUUCAAGAAGUGGUCAAAUUUUGCAAUUUGCCAAUUCAAGCAAGGUUAAUCUUGCAAGAAUCCUUGCUUUUUUAGUCAAAGGGGCCAUAUGUUUUAUUGUCCAGGAACAUGUCACAUUAGACUUUGUCAACUGAGACAAAAACUUUACAGAGUCUCUCUGCCUUACAGGUUUGUUACGUCCUUUUUGCUACAUUCAAUUUUUGGCAAUAGUACUACUUCAGUCACACUAUUGGUUUGAGUACCUUUUUCUUUCUGAAUACAGAACAUUAUUUUUUUAUCUGAGCUGCUCUCCAAAUAUGAUUUAUUGAAUCAUAAAUUUGUAGCCCGAAUUUCCGUUGAAGUGCAAUGGACUACUUACAUGUGUCAUCUGCCACAGCUGCAAAUGCAAGCAUGUCUAAUUUAAAUACUAUGAAAAGGAAGAAGUACCUGUAAGGGAAACUGUCAACUUUUGAAUUGCAAGAUCAAUUAGCUGAAGCGCCGGCAUCCUGCAGCAAUUAUCAAUUUGUGCUAAAGUCAAUGAAGUAGGUCAGUUUAAAUUGAGUACCAAUGUUCACAAACAAGGAAAGGAAGGAAACUUUUGAUAUGUACAACAAGACCACUUCCAUGUCUAAAUGCUGUGAUGUAAGCAUUGGAAGUGGGCAUUCGAAGAGGAUAUAGAUGCAUGGUUGCUGAGGAAUUAUUCGCCCACAAAUUUAAAGGAAAAAAAAAAAAAACCAAGUCACUGCUGACUUGGUAAGUCCUUGAUGAGAAAGAUCAAAUACUUGUUCAAAGACUCCAACCUAUAAAUAGGCAUGCUUUCAAAAGGUUUACUCACCCAAAGCAAGAAAACUUGGAAGACUUGAAUCUAGUAACCUGCCAAGCUACAAUGAAAGGUGUUUAUUUCCUGGCAUCUUUUCUCUUUUUGGCUCUGGCUUCCUCAUUUGCCUCUGCCUCUGACCCUAGCCCUCUUCAAGACUUUUGUGUAGCCCUCAAUGACACUAAAAUUGCAGGUAUGUUUUCCCUUAAUUUCUCUGUUUUCAUUUGAAUUUACCGGGGUAUGCAUAAACGAAAGACAUUCAGCAAGGAUGCAAUAAUGCUUCUAUUCUCCAGAACAAUAAUAACUAAAAUGAAUCUUUUCUUUCUUGCGUGCUUGGUAUCAACAAACACUUUUCUCUUUCAUGCAGUAUUUGUGAAUGGGAAGUUCUGCAAGGACCCAAUGCUUGCCAAAGCAGAAGACUUCUUCUUUUCAGGGCUCAACGUGCCAGGAAACACAUCAAAUCAACUGGGGUCAAAAGUCACUCCUGUUAAUGUGGAACAAAUUCCAGGACUUAACACUCUUGGCGUAUCUCUGGCAAGAGUUGACUUUGCACCUUAUGGUGGGCUAAAUCCCCCUCACACUCACCCUCGUGCCACAGAGAUCCUAGUUGUCCUAGAAGGCACACUCUAUGUCGGCUUUGUCACAUCCAACCCGGAUAACCGUCUCAUCACCAAAGUCCUCUACCCUGGCGAUGUUUUUGUCUUUCCGGUUGGUCUCAUCCACUUCCAGCUCAAUAUAGGGAAAACUAAUGCAGUUGCCUUUGCUGCUUUCGGCAGCCAAAAUCCAGGAGUUAUCACUAUUGCAAAGGCAGUCUUUGGCUCAAACCCUCCCAUCAAUCCUGAUGUUCUCACCAAGGCCUUCCAGCUGGACAAGAACGUAGUGAAAUAUCUUCAGUCACAAUUCUGGUGGGAUAACAAUUAGACCAAUAUUCAACAUCCAUGAAGCAGUAGACAGUUUGGAGCAAUAUCUUACAUGUUUCCAUCAUUAUUUAAGUAAUUCUUGUUGAAGUCAAAUAAAGAGGUUGCUUAUGUAUCUCCACUGAUGUAAUUCUCCCUGUAUGUUGGUUUUGGAUUUAUUAUGUUAUUACAGUUUGCUCCAAAUUAGCACCAAAUCUCAACUUUUAUCUAGAUUUCAUUGGAAGCCCCACUUUUGAGAAUACUUUAAUUAAGGUCUUGGAAUCUGGCACGUGAAGAUUUACACAAAACAUCAAAGGAUUUUCAGAAUUGGGCUAACUUUAUGUUUCUUGCCGAUGAACUAUUUAGGAAAGUUGGGAUCUUAUUUGCCAGAAUCCAGAACACACCAAAUUUUGUUAAGAAGUUAGAGAUCUAGUGCUACUGCAUUCUAUAAAGAAUGCAUGGGAAAUAUAUAUAGUUAGGAGUCAAUCAACUAGUCUUCGUUUGACCUGAAAACAUUGUGGACCUUAACCCUUCAUGAGAAUGUCUUGGCAUUGCAGAAGCAAGUGUUUUGUCAUUGCUAACCAUCUAGUCUAGCUUCGAGUUUAGGGCCUUCUUUGAAGUCAAUGGAUUAGUUAUAACAAUUGCUACAGGGAUUGUCACCUUAUAAAUUGCAAAUGAUAGGCAACCAUUUCAACGAGAAACGGCAAUCUUUAAGAAAUAACUGUUUUUUAUACAAGUUUUUCUAAGUAUAUCGGUUUCACUAGAUUUCUAUCAUAUAACUGAUAAGACCUUUUUCAAACCUUUAUGGUACAUUUUACUCUAAACAAUCAUUUGAUGAAAGUUCUAUCCAUCAUGAUAAUCUUUGACAAGAAAUAUUGCUAUGAUGAAAAAGUGAGCAUCACACUUGUUAACAUAUUUAUAGUAAUUUUGAAUUUAUGAUUUUGACUUGCUGAUACUAAUUUUAGUUUUUUUAUUAGUUCUUAUUAUAAAAUAAAAAUUUUCGGCAUUUUUAGGUUAAUUGCAAUUAAUUUAACAAGAAACAAUUACAAUUUGUAGAUUCAAGUACAAAAAGAUUUUUUAUUGGACUUAAAUUUUGACAUCUUGUCAUUAUUGUGGAUGGUGCUCAACUACAAGUCGGUUUUAAGAAUUAGUUUUUAAAUUCAAAUUACAUCUAUCAUAUCAUCUUGCGAAGUUAAUACAAUUAUAAAACUAUAUAGAUUAUAAAUUAAAUCAACGUGAUUUAUUAGAUUGCCAUACAAUCAUUGUAUUGUUACCUUGAUUCUUUCAUAAAUAAUUGAAAAUCCUUUAUAUAUGUAUAUCUUAUUACAUAUGUCAUCUGCUAUUUUUUUUUUUUUUGAAAGUUAUGUCAUCUGUUAUUCGGAGAUAAAAUAUGUCAUGCCCCAAUCCCUAGUCAUGACACGGCCAUAUUAUCGUGAGAUUAGGUCCCAAAGUAAUACAAAACCUUUCCUUUCAUCAUACUUAUAAUAGUCCAAAAUUGAAGUCAUAAUAAUAGUUUUGUUCCAACAUAUUCACAUAAUUAAUUAUUAAGAUCCGACUAACGUCUUCAAGAAAAAUAAAUAAAUAUUUAGAACUUUAAAUAUCCAUUACACAUAGUAUGCGUUUCAAAGUAGUUAACAAUGUCUUGACACUAGGACAAACUUCUCAAUUUAUUCUCUUAGCUCACAUGAUCUUAAGGUUCAUAUCUUUAGUCAUCUGCAAAAUAUAAUAAAAAAAUAAGCAAACCACAGCUCAGCAAGUAUAGCCACACAUACACCCUACCGAAUCAAGCAUUGUUUUCAAUAUAACAUGUUGAUCAUUCAAAGGCAUUUCAAUAAAUCAUGCUUCCAAAUAGUUAAAGAAUCAUAUAUACAAAAAGGAAAAACAUAGUGAGUUCUUAAUCAUUGAUCGUCAUAUAUCAUUUUUAAAAUAUCAUUCUAGCAAAUCAUAGAUUCAAUCUUUUAAACUCGUAAAAUUUCAUCAUCUUAGUUACUGUCACUAUUAUAUCCCGUUGCAAGGGCCGUAUCGACUAAUCAUUUUCAUGAUCGUUACUCACUAUUAUAUCCCCUUAGCACGGCUGUUUGCUAACUAUUAUAUCCUGUUAGCACGGCUGUAGAACUAGUUCUAGUGUCGAUUAUCCCACUUCCCAAGGAUUAUUUCGUAGCUCUUAAAACAUUCUUUAAAGAUGAUCAAGGUUUCCUUUCAUUCAUAAAUUGAUAUUCAUCACAUAAAUCAAUCAAAGCAUUCAUAGAAUAAUGUUCGUCAUAUGUAUAAUUCAAAUAAUUUGAAAAUCCAAUUUUCCAUUACAUGAGUAAUAUUCAUCAUAUUACUAAGCUUAAAAAAGAAAAUAAUCAUAUGCUUGACCCUAUUUUCAAUAUACUAAAAUAAUGAAAUAAGACAUUUAAUUCAUUUAAGAAAUAUACAUAUACGAUAGUUUCGAAACAAGUAAAGGAGUGAAGAUAUAUUUACUGCCCUUCAUUCUAACAAACUCGCUUCCUCCCAAAGUAAUCAAAAGCCUAAUAAUAAUCAUUUAAACAUACUAGCAACCAUCUAACUCUCUAAAAUUUAUUUAUCAUCUAAAACUAUACAAAAUAAUCCAAACUCUCCCAAAUCAAAAAUCUGGACAGUUUGCACAUCAUUCACUAAAAUAACCAUAUCUUAAGCUAUGAAACUUAAAAGCAAGAUUUGUUUAGUGUGUUGGAAACUAGACUUGAUAAGCUUUCUAUCCAUAUAAAUCUCAAAACUUAUUUCACUGUAGGAAAGGUGCAGAAAAUUUUUGAAAUUGCCCCCGGAGUUGCUGCCAGGCAGUUUGCACUGUUUUUACCAAAAAAAAUUCAUAUCUUUGCAUAGGAAAUUUGGAAUCCGCUUCCAUUUGGUUCCUUAGAAAAUAGACUCAUGUAGCUUUCCAACCGUUUAUAACUCAACUAGUGAAACUCCAUAAAUCAUUUCAUAAUCAGACUCAAAUUGACUGGACAGUACAUGAAACUUGAUGCUACAAAUAGAUUUUCCUUUUCAAUUUCAAUUCAAAUUCUUGUAAAUCAAUCACAUGUUCUCUUUUUAUUUAAAAGAGGGUUUUACUCACCCUGUAAUGAUCGAUCCAGAAAUAGCCUUCAAAUGCUUAUUCUUCAAGUUGUUCUUGAAAAUCCCCAAAUCUUACACCAAAGUAUAUAGUUUUAGGGGUUUUCAUUAAGAUGACUGUCUAUAUUUAAAUAAUAUAUUUAUAUUAACCCUAAUGGUAUUUUAAUAACUUCAAUAUAAAAAAGCAAUUUAGGCCCAAUUAAUUGUAAAGGCUUAUCUAUUACUUUUUUUUUUUUGUAAAUACUUCAGUCCAAAUAUUAUUUAGGUUGGGGUAUUACAAAAAACCAGCAGUCUUGAAUCUUCUCAAAAUUUUUGUUUGCAUCAGUAUACUUCUUAAGCCAUGCUAUUUAUUUCCAAGUGAGGUUUGCUGGCCUGUUGCUAGAACUCUGGGUAUCAAUUGUUUGCCGCCCUGUUUCACCAUUAAAAGAUUGAAUCAGAAAAAAAAAUAAGAAACCAAAAAAACUUUUUCCAUGAAAAGGAAUGCAUUGUUGAUUAAUAGUUCCUGUUCUGUACAUGAGCAGUUUCAGAGGCCAUGAAAUGAAUACUGUUCUUACUGGGUGGCAGUGACAGAUAUAGUACAAAAUGCCAGCAAUAACCGGCAAACUUUUACUUGAGCAGAUUACAUAGCCCAGGAAAUCCAUUAUUUCUAACAAGUAAAGCCACGCAAACAUGGUAAUACAUUAACCAAAGAAUGUGCAAGACCGUCUUAUGUGAAUCGAUAGCGGCAUGAGCUACCUGCCGCUCCUCAAUGGCAGUAUUUGUGAACAAGGACCAUUCUUAACCUCAUUUAAUUACAAGUUAAAUUUUAUGGAGCGUCGGCAGCCCCACCAACAUUAGAAAUAUGCUGAAGUCAAUGAAUUUGUCUCAAUUUAAAUUCAGUAAAAAUAUUUAAGAAAUACAUGAUAUGUCAGGAAUGAGGUAAUGACAAAGAGGGAAUUAAUUUAUUGAAGAUGUAUAUACAUGACAUGAAUGGCUGCCAAAGAAGGAUUCAUUAAGAAUUUUUUUUAUUAACAAAAAAACACUGUAGACGUGGUAAGCCAUUUUCCUGGAAAAAUAAAAUGAAAAGGCAUUGAGUUGUUCAAAGACUCCAUAAAUCUAUACAUAGGCAAGUUCUCAGGAAAGAUUCAUCAUCAUCCCUCCAAAGCAAUUAAACUUGCAAGAAUUUAAGCUAGAAAGCCGCCUUACCAAGAUGAAAGGUGUUCAUUUCCUAUCAGUAGCAUUUUCUCUCUUGGCUCUGGCUUCCUUAUUUGCCUCUACCUCUGACCCUAGCCCUCUUCAGG